UACGUAGGCAGCAAGCGUUGUUCGGAAUUAGCUGGGCGUAAAGAGUGUGUAGGCGGUGCUCCAAGUCUGGUGUGAAAUCUCCCGGCUUAACUGGGAGGGUGCAUUAGAAACUGGAAUGCUAGAGGAUGGGAGAGGUAAGCGGAAUUCCUGGUGUAGCGGUGAAAUGCGUAGAUAUCAGGAGGAACACCUGUGGUGUAGACAGCUUACUGGACCAUUUCUGACGCUGAGACACGAAAGCGUGGGUAGCAAACAGG
Molecule: ribosomal RNA, 254 nt
Filed under: uncultured bacterium
Lineage: Bacteria
Description: partial 16S ribosomal RNA
Rfam family: Bacterial small subunit ribosomal RNA
Source: RNAcentral